This 85-nucleotide transfer RNA is filed under the name Felis catus (domestic cat). It matches the Rfam family "tRNA". From Rfam's summary of the family: Transfer RNA (tRNA) molecules are approximately 80 nucleotides in length. Their secondary structure includes four short double-helical elements and three loops (D, anti-codon, and T loops). Further hydrogen bonds mediate the characteristic L-shaped molecular structure. tRNAs have two regions of fundamental functional importance: the anti-codon, which is responsible for specific mRNA codon recognition, and the 3' end, to which the tRNAs corresponding amino acid is attached (by aminoacyl-tRNA synthetases). tRNAs cope with the degeneracy of the genetic code in two manners: having more than one tRNA (with a specific anti-codon) for a particular amino acid; and 'wobble' base-pairing, i.e. permitting non-standard base-pairing at the 3rd anti-codon position. The record is from Rfam by way of RNAcentral. Lineage: Eukaryota; Metazoa; Chordata; Mammalia; Carnivora; Felidae.
GCCUGGGUGGCUCAAUCGGUUGAGCGCCCGACUUCAGCUCAGGUCAUGAUCUCACCAUCUGUGAGUUCGAGCCCCACGUCGGGCU